GGCGGCAUCGCUGUGAAAGGUCUUUCCAACAGUAAUGGAGCCGAAUUUAAAUCUAAUAGUGAGAGUCACAGUAGCGCCAUCUCUUGGUGUGCUUCUGAAAUUGCUGUGGCAUCUCUGCAUUCAAGAUGAUGACUGCCUCGGAACAAAAUAUGAAACGAUAUCUUUGCUGUUUUAUUGUUUUCUUGGGGAGAAGCCAUUAAUAGCCUAUGGGAACCCGUUUCUGCCUCAGUGUUAAAAAAUUAAGAUCUCAUUCUUGUUGACCUUCGUUGGGAGAUGCCCUCUGUCCUUCUGCUGGAGAGUGAGGUAGGAGAAGUUGAGGAAUUGGAGGGAGGGAUGCAUAAUCUGCAGGUCUCAGGGGACGUUCUGCAGGUGUGCUCAUCUGCUGGCUUCGAGAAAGAGAGAGAGAGCGACAGAGAGACCCAA
RNAcentral lists this long non-coding RNA (423 nucleotides) under Sinocyclocheilus anshuiensis. Its description in RNAcentral is "lncRNA (ENSSANG00000044883.1)". Lineage: Eukaryota; Metazoa; Chordata; Actinopteri; Cypriniformes; Cyprinidae. The record is from RNAcentral.